RNAcentral lists this ribosomal RNA (220 nucleotides) under uncultured bacterium. Its description in RNAcentral is "partial 16S ribosomal RNA". It matches the Rfam family "Bacterial small subunit ribosomal RNA", at positions 355 to 567 of the family's 1533-position model. The record is from RNAcentral.
UAGGGAAUCUUCCACAAUGGACGCAAGUCUGAUGGAGCAACGCCGCGUGAGUGAAGAAGGUUUUCGGACCGUAAAGCUCUGUUGUUGGUGAAGAAGGAUAGAGGUAGUAACUGGCCUUUAUUUGACGGUAAUCAACCAGAAAGUCACGGCUAACUACGUGCCAGCAGCCGCGGUAAUACGUAGGUGGCAAGCGUUGUCCGGAUUUAUUGGGCGUAAAAGC